This 351-nucleotide unclassified non-coding RNA is filed under the name uncultured fungus. RNAcentral's name for it is "partial internal transcribed spacer 2". The record is from RNAcentral. Lineage: Eukaryota; Fungi.
AACGCAAGUUGCGCUCUCGUGGUCACCCCCCGAGAGCACGUUCGCUUGAGUGCCGCCAUCAUCACUAAGGGUUCUAUACCUACUCCUCUCCGUUUGCGCGUCGAGGGACUCGGGCCUCUUGCCGUGGUGCAUAUCACGCAUGGCCUCAGAUGGUGUGCCGACCGCUAUCGUGUGACCACUUUGCUUCCGCGUGUUGAUCGCAUUGAUGCGUUUCUUGCUCGCUCGGUGCUUAUGCAUCGAGUUGUGGUGGUUGCGUACUACUGUGAUUGAUUAUGCGUUCGCCGAGCCUGCACGAAUAGUAUAACACUCAUAACCGGCCUCAAGUCGAGCGACAGCACCCGCCGAAUUUAA